This 69-nucleotide transfer RNA is filed under the name Phaeognathus hubrichti (Red Hills salamander). RNAcentral's name for it is "tRNA-Ala". It matches the Rfam family "tRNA". From Rfam's summary of the family: Transfer RNA (tRNA) molecules are approximately 80 nucleotides in length. Their secondary structure includes four short double-helical elements and three loops (D, anti-codon, and T loops). The record is from RNAcentral. Lineage: Eukaryota; Metazoa; Chordata; Amphibia; Caudata; Plethodontidae.
AAGGCUCUAGCUUAAUUAAAGUAUUUGGGUUGCAUUCAAAGGAUGUUAGAUAGAAUCUUGCGAGUCUUA